GAUGAACGCUGGCGGCGUGCCUAACACAUGCAAGUCGAACGGAGUCGUUUUGGAAAUCUCUUCGGAGAUGGAAUUCUCGACUUAGUGGCGGACGGGUGAGUAACGCGUGAGCAAUCUGCCUUUAAGAGGGGGAUAACAGUCGGAAACGGCUGCUAAUACCGCAUAAAGCAUUAAAUUCGCAUGUUUUUGAUGCCAAAGGAGCAAUCCGCUUUUAGAUGAGCUCGCGUCUGAUUAGCUAGUUGGCGGGGUAACGGCCCACCAAGGCGACGAUCAGUAGCCGGACUGAGAGGUUGAACGGCCACAUUGGGACUGAGGCACGGCCCAGACUCCUACGGGAGGCAGCAGUGGGGAAUAUUGCGCAAUGGGGGAAACCCUGACGCAGCAACGCCGCGUGAUUGAAGAAGGCCUUCGGGUUGUAAAGAUCUUUAAUCAGGGACGAAACAAAUGACGGUACCUGAAGAAUAAGCUCCGGCUAACUACGUG
This 483-nucleotide ribosomal RNA is filed under the name uncultured bacterium. RNAcentral describes it as "partial 16S ribosomal RNA". It matches the Rfam family "Bacterial small subunit ribosomal RNA", at positions 28 to 507 of the family's 1533-position model. The record is from RNAcentral.